Nothobranchius furzeri (turquoise killifish) is the source of this 2184-nucleotide long non-coding RNA. RefSeq lists it as uncharacterized. Lineage: Eukaryota; Metazoa; Chordata; Actinopteri; Cyprinodontiformes; Nothobranchiidae. The record is from RefSeq and is a predicted model, not a curated record.
GCCAGGCAACAGUUUUCCUGGAGGACUGAGAGGAAAUGCAGGAAGACACACAGCCAACAGGAAAAUAGAAAAAUAAAAACCAAGAAAACAAAGUUCUUGAAACAUAAAAUGUAGUUAGAUUUAUCCUACUAUGCAUUUUUACCUGUAUGAAGCAAUGAUUUAACAGCAUAUAUAUUUAUAUAUUUUAUACAAUUCAGAUCACCUUCAAAACAGGGCCGUAUCAAGGUAUUUUGGGGGCCAAGGCAAAAUAGACCCCUGCCAGGUAUUUUAAGUUGAGGUGCUGUUUGUUUUAUUUUUUAUAUUAGACUUUUUUAUAUUUACACUAAAGUCCAAAAGUGAAGGAUUUAUGUUAUUUAUUGCCUGAUUGUACAAGCUAUCUUACAGAAGCAAUCUGUUUGUGUUAAAAAAAAGAAACAUUGUGGAUCUGUUUCUUUGCUUUCAUUAUUCUUUUAUCAAGACAAAAAUAAAAUAAACCUGAUCGGGACAUCCCCACAAAUAAAACAAGCCUGAAGGAGUUCUGCUGUGUUGUGGAGUUGCUUUAAAUGUAUGGAUUUCCAGGGAGGUCAUUGUCUUGGAACGGUUUCAUGUUAAUCUUUAAUCAUCUACUUUUACCAGAAGAACCAGCUCUCCUGUGAAUAAGUAAUGCUCUAUUAAUAGAAGUUGGUGCACACUUAACUGCGGGUUUGUGAUCCUGCCUCAGUCACUUGUUGUUUUUUUUCAUCAGCAUCAUUAAAGCAUUCGUCUUUCAAGUGUUUUCUCAGGUUGAAAGAAACUGUGACAUCUGAGAGGGAGCGCUGAUUGCAGGAGAGACAUGCUCCAAGCUAAUGACAGUCUGGUCCAUUUUUAGGAGAUAAGAAAAGCAUGAGAUUGUAGGCGUUUAGACCGAGUAGACCGACAUGUAAGACGAGUAAAUAUGAAGCCGCACACUGAGCAAGAAAACGUUUCGGUGGAAAGAUAAGGGUUAAAGACUGCUAUCUCUUUUUUUGUGUUCAUUGUCACAUCUCUCUGAAAGACCCAAUUUUAACUUGCAGCAGCCCCAACGCGUGCACACGUGGAGCGUGCAAUUUGUGCAACGAGAAAGAAAAUAUAGGCUGCAAGAAAAGGAGCUUAUAGGUACGGGGGAGGCAUGUGUGUUUCGUCUUCACCCACACUCAAACCUGUCAAACAAACAACACUCGUCUUCCUCCUCCCUCAUGCAGCAGCCAAUCAGGAGCCAGUAAUAAAAAAAACACUAUUUUUUUUGUCAUCAUGUCCCGCUGGGUCCACUUGGAACAAGGUGUUCCUUGAUUUUGGAUGAAGACAGGAAGCAAACACCUAUUUUGUGUUAUGUCACUCAUUUGUUGUAGAAGACAUCAGGGGGAAAAGUUGGAGAUGCAGUGAGACAUCUGCAGCCACACAGGCACCUGUGGACACCACGGGGGCGGGACUGUCUUCUGCACCUGUUGAGCCUCACUGUGAUGAUGAUGAAUCGUUUUCUAUCCAGGCAUCAAGCAGCAGCAGCAAAACAUUUACUGAGCUACAAUCUCAGCAUCUAUAGGUGAGUAAGUUACUUGUUAGGCUAUUUGUAAUCAGCAGUAGAAACUGACUUUUUCAAAUUAAACGGCUUAUCACAUAUAUCGAUAUGCAAAUUUAAUUUAUUUAAAUCCACACCAGACACUUGUUUUUGGCACAAUCAGUGCAGCAUUGAUUUAGCAUUGAGAAUAUUAAAUCAUCUGAACAUACACAUCUGAAAUUGUCUCCUUAAGAUGUUAUUGUCAAUUAGGCUGUAAAUUUGUAAAAAAAAAAAGAUGGACGUUAGUUUUUGUGACAUAGUGAGUCAUCUUCAGGGCAUAAAGGUUUAUGCCCUGAAGAAAGGUCGUACCGAAACGCGUCGGCGUUUCCUUGUUAAUACAUGAAAUCCUCAGAGUGCCUCAGAUCACCGGUUCUUCUUCCUCAUAUUCUACGAUUUAUUUGAUGCUGAAGAGCACCUGAGAGUGAGACAUACGUUUUUUUUUUUUCAAAUAUUCCCCAAGGAUGCACUCACUUCCACCUGUUUUUGAUCAUUUUAUUCAUGUUUUCAUAAAACAGAUUUAAAAAAGAUCAAUAAAAUAAAAAGUCCAAUAACAUAAAAAAUAAUGAAAAGCCUCACUGCACAUGACUGAGGAAUAUUGAAUGUGAAAGUGGCACUGUUCGUAAUUCAUGCAU